UCCCCGGGNUUAACCUGGGAACUGCGUUNUGAACUGGGUAGCUAGAGUAUGUCAGAGGGGGGUAGAAUUCCACGUGUAGCAGUGAAAUGCGUAGAGAUGUGGAGGAAUACCGAUGGCGAAGGCAGCCUCCUGGGAUAAUACUGACGUUCAUGCCCGAAAGCGUGGGUAGCAAACAGGAUUAGAUACCCUGGUAGUCCACGCCCUAAACGAUGUCGAUUAGCUGUUGGGCAACUUGAUUGCUUAGUAGCGAAGCUAACGCGUGAAAUCGACCGCCUGGGGAGUACGGUCGCAAGAUUAAAACUCAAAGGAAUUGACGGGGACCCGCACAAGCGGUGGAUGAUGUGGAUUAAUUCGAUGCAACGCGAAGAAUCUUACCUGGUCUUGACAUGUACGGAACCUUCCAGAGACGGAAGGGUGCCUUCGGGAGCCGUAACACAGGUGCUGCAUGGCUGUCGUCAGCUCGUGUCGUGAGAUGUUGGGUUAAGUCCCGCAACGAGCGCAACCCUUGUCAUUAGUUGCCAUCAUUAAGUUGGGCACUCUAAUGAGACUGCCGGUGACAAACCGGAGGAAGGUGGGGAUGACGUCAAGUCCUCAUGGCCCUUAUGACCAGGGCUUCACACGUCAUACAAUGGUCGGUACAGAGGGUAGCCAAGCCGCGAGGCGGAGCCAAUCCCAGAAAACCGAUCGUAGCCCGGAUUGCACUCUGCAACUCGAGUGCAUGAAGUCGGAAUCGCUAGUAAUCGCAGGUCAGCAUACUGCGGUGAAUACGUUCCCGGGCCUUGUACACACCGCCCGUCACACCAUGGGAGUGGGGGAUACCAGAAGCAGGUAGGAUAACCGCAAGGANUCCGCUUGCCACG
Molecule: ribosomal RNA, 860 nt
Filed under: uncultured bacterium
Lineage: Bacteria
Description: bacterial SSU rRNA
Rfam family: Bacterial small subunit ribosomal RNA
Source: RNAcentral